ACCCUUGAUCCCCGGGACGCGCUCCCCUACCUAACGGGUGUCCCCUCGGGGACUAUGGCGAUAAACGCACCUGUAAUAAGCGGCUCGGACCCGGGGGCGGUACCCGGCGGCUCCACCAAGAUCCUCGUUGGGGACAUUUGGGGCCGAAAUAGGAUCGACGAACGUCUAAAGAGGCCAGCUUUCGCUCGGUGAGGUACCACCGUUAUCGGUCCGAAACGUACAGUUGCCAACGACAACCGUGCUCCGGUGGCGAUGGCUGCGUAAGCAGUCGGAUCUACCGAAACUUAAGUCCUUGCGCCUAGCAGUGUAAGGCGGGGUUCGCAGGCACCUGGCAACAGAAGCCUGCACU
RNAcentral lists this transfer-messenger RNA (349 nucleotides) under Jannaschia seohaensis. RNAcentral's name for it is "Alphaproteobacteria transfer-messenger RNA". It matches the Rfam family "Alphaproteobacteria transfer-messenger RNA". Rfam says of the family: Bacterial tmRNA, also known as 10Sa RNA or SsrA, is named for its dual tRNA and mRNA-like properties. Its role is to liberate the mRNA from a stalled ribosome. The record is from Rfam by way of RNAcentral. Lineage: Bacteria; Pseudomonadati; Pseudomonadota; Alphaproteobacteria; Rhodobacterales; Roseobacteraceae.